Molecule: unclassified non-coding RNA, 168 nt
Filed under: uncultured Hypocreales
Lineage: Eukaryota; Fungi; Ascomycota; Sordariomycetes; Hypocreales
Description: sequence contains ITS1
Source: RNAcentral
CCGAGUUUACAACUCCCAAACCCUAUGUGAACAUACCUAUGUUGCUUCGGCGGGACCGCCCCGGCACGCCCCCUUGGGGGUCGGCCCGGAACCAGGCGCCCGCCGGGGACCUAAAAUUCUUGUAUUUUUGUGUUUCUUCUGAGUGGCGAAAGCAAAAAAAAUAAAUCA